GAGAGUACAGCAGCAGCAUCGCUAAUAUUGACAUUACACCGGAAGGGAGAGAGGCCGAGCUGGAACGAAUUGAAACGAUAGAGUAUUAGAUUGCUAGAGUGGAGGAAAGGAGGACAGAGGUAGUUCCUCUUCGGGCUGACCCGCGGGAGGUUGAUGGCGUCGGCAGAGCCUCUUGUGCUGCUUGGAGGGUCGAAGCGGCUCCUGGGAGACAAAGAGGAUGGCAAUAAAAGCACUCUGGAAAACUGAGAAUAACAAGCAACAUUGG
Pseudonaja textilis is the source of this 265-nucleotide non-coding RNA. The record is from RefSeq and is a predicted model, not a curated record. NCBI's taxonomy places the organism in Eukaryota, Metazoa, Chordata, Lepidosauria, Squamata, Elapidae.